This is a long non-coding RNA of Etheostoma spectabile (orangethroat darter), 138 nucleotides long. RefSeq lists it as uncharacterized. Lineage: Eukaryota; Metazoa; Chordata; Actinopteri; Perciformes; Percidae. The record is from RefSeq and is a predicted model, not a curated record. The transcript has 3 exons.
UUGUCAUUGAUUAUCCCACUUUGCAACACAGUAAUACAACAGAGACCUUAUUUAUUGAUAUUGAUUGAUUUUAAUAUCGAUCGAUCCAACACCCAAGAUUCUUUUGUCAGUCAAUAAAACGUUACCAAAAUCUUUUCA